GCGUAAUUCAAGAGCCCUGACUCUUUCACCAUUUCAUGAUGGCUUAUUACUCGCACACGGCAUUGUCAGGUUCCAGCAACUCUGUGUGCAGCAGGCAGAAAUGCAGUGUUUAUCUCUGACAGGCAAACAUUCUUAGGCUCAUCGGCAUGAGUAUCCACGCUGAACUGGCUAUCGGGGAAGUAGAUCCCUGCAUGGGAAAGUCAAGGGCCAUCUGCCCAUCUGAAACUGUCUUUGGCUGC
Molecule: long non-coding RNA, 239 nt
Filed under: Homo sapiens (human)
Lineage: Eukaryota; Metazoa; Chordata; Mammalia; Primates; Hominidae
Description: non-protein coding LINC02397:31
Source: RNAcentral